UUUUUGAAGUUGGAUAGCCAUGCAGUCGAACGACCCGGACUAUGGCGGGGAGUGGCAGACUGCUCAGUAACACGUAGCUAACCUACCCUCAGGACGGGGAUAACCCCGGGAAACUGGGGCUAAUACCCGAUAGGUGUGGAUUCCUGGAAUGGUGCCAUGCCUAAAUGUAAGCGCAUCCAUGUUUGUGUGCACGCCCGAGAAUGGGGCUGCGGCCGAUCAGGCAGUUGGUGAGGUAACGGCUCACCAAACCUUUGACCGGUACGGGCCAUGAGAGUGGUAGCCCGGAGAUGGGCACUGAGACAAGGGCCCAGGCCCUACGGGGCGCAGCAGGCGCGAAACCUCCACAAUUCACGCAAGUGAGAUGGGGUUACCUCGAGUGCCGCCUGAAGAAGGCGGCUUUUCCAUGGUGUAAUGAGCCGUGGGAAUAAGGGGGGGGCAAGACUGGUGUCAGCCGCCGCGGUAACACCAGCCCCCCGAGUGGUGGGGAUGAUUAUUUGGCCUAAAGCGUCCGUAGCCGGCUCGGUAAAUCUCUCGUUAAAUCCAGCGUCCCAAGCGUUGGGCUGCGAGGGAGACUGCCGAGCUAGAGGGUGGGAGAGGUCAGCGGUAUUCCUGGGGUAGGGGCGAAAUCCAUUGAUCCCAGGAGGACCACCAGUGGCGAAGGCUGCUGACUAGAACACGCCUGACGGUGAGGGACGAAAGCUGGGGUAGCGAAUCGGAUUAGAUACCCGAGUAGUCCCAGCCGUAAACGAUGCAGGCUAGGUGUUGGGUCGGCCACGCGCCGCCUCAGUGCCACAGGGAAGCCAUUAAGCCUGCCGCCUGGGGGAGUACGGCCGCAAGGCUGAAACUUAAAGGAAUUGGCGGGGGAGCACCACAAGGCGUGAAGCUUGCGGUUCAAUUGGAGUCAACGCCGGG
This 912-nucleotide ribosomal RNA is filed under the name uncultured archaeon. RNAcentral describes it as "bacterial SSU rRNA". It matches the Rfam family "Archaeal small subunit ribosomal RNA", at positions 30 to 922 of the family's 1478-position model. The record is from RNAcentral.